ACUCUAGUCUGGCACGGUGAAGA
RNAcentral lists this non-coding RNA (23 nucleotides) under Cricetulus griseus (Chinese hamster). Lineage: Eukaryota; Metazoa; Chordata; Mammalia; Rodentia; Cricetidae. The record is from RNAcentral.